This 242-nucleotide long non-coding RNA is filed under the name Setaria italica (foxtail millet). Its description in RNAcentral is "long non-coding RNA (SITA_LNC001940)". The record is from RNAcentral. Lineage: Eukaryota; Viridiplantae; Streptophyta; Magnoliopsida; Poales; Poaceae.
UAACAAGCAGUUAGUAUGUAUGCAUGUUCCAAAACGUAUGAUUGUGGCUAAUAUACAGAGAUCAUCAGUGAUAAUUGUUUCGAUAUCCACUUGCUCUCCGUCUGAAUAUUCAGUGCAAAAUUAACUUUGCAUGGAGAAACCAGUGUGUGAAGAACGACUCGAGUAGCGACUGAAAUGGGAAGAUGCCUGGAUUAUGAUCUCUGAAGCCUUUGGUCUGAAAAAUACGAAAUGGGGAAACUGUC